This 520-nucleotide ribosomal RNA is filed under the name uncultured organism. RNAcentral's name for it is "SSU rRNA". It matches the Rfam family "Bacterial small subunit ribosomal RNA", at positions 1 to 509 of the family's 1533-position model. The record is from RNAcentral.
AGUACGUAGUAGUUGACUCGUGCUCGAGANACGCUGGCGGCGUGCCUAACACAUGCAAGUCGAGCGGGGACAUACGACGGACAGGAAGUUUUUCGGGAUGGAAUGGAAGAUGUAUGUUCUAGCGGCGGACGGGUGAGUAACGCGUGAGCAACCUGUCCCUUACAGGGGGAUAACACAGCGAAAGCUGUACUAAUACCGCAUAAGACCACAGAGAGACAUCUCACAGGGGUCAAAGGAGCAAUCCGGUAAGGGUGGGCUCGCGUCCGAUUAGAUAGUUGGUGAGGUAACGGCCCACCAAGUCAACGAUCGGUAGCCGACCUGAGAGGGUGAUCGGCCACAUUGGGACUGAGACACGGCCCAAACUCCUACGGGAGGCAGCAGUGGGGAAUAUUGGGCAAUGGGGGGAACCCUGACCCAGCAACGCCGCGUGAGGGAAGAAGGUUUUCGGAUCGUAAACCUCUGUCCUUGGUGAAGAGGAAGAGACGGUAGCCAAGGAGGAAGCCCCGGCUAACUACGUGCC